This 70-nucleotide transfer RNA is filed under the name Megacopta centronubila. RNAcentral's name for it is "tRNA-Leu". It matches the Rfam family "tRNA". Rfam says of the family: Transfer RNA (tRNA) molecules are approximately 80 nucleotides in length. The record is from RNAcentral. Lineage: Eukaryota; Metazoa; Arthropoda; Insecta; Hemiptera; Plataspidae.
UCUAAUGUGGCAGAAUUAUUAUGCAAUGAAUUUAAGAUUCAUAGAUAGAGAUUAAGAUCUUUUUUUAGAA